This 255-nucleotide ribosomal RNA is filed under the name uncultured bacterium. Its description in RNAcentral is "partial 16S ribosomal RNA". It matches the Rfam family "Bacterial small subunit ribosomal RNA", at positions 524 to 776 of the family's 1533-position model. The record is from RNAcentral.
UACGUAGGGGGCAAGCGUUGUCCGGAUUUAUUGGGCGUAAAGAGCGUGUAGGCGGCUAGAUAGGUCCGUUGUGAAAACUCGAGGCUCAACCUCGAGACGUCGAUGGAAACCAUCUGGCUAGAGUCCGGAAGAGGAGAGUGGAAUUCCUGGUGUAGCGGUGAAAUGCGCAGAUAUCAGGAAGAACACCCGUGGCGAAGGCGGCUCUCUGGUACGUGACUGACGCUGAGACGCGAAAAGCGUGGGGGAGCAAACAGG